GAUGAACGCUGGCGGCGUGCCUAAUACAUGCAAGUAGAACGCUGAAGGAAGGAGCUUGCUCUUUCCGGAUGAGUUGCGAACGGGUGAGUAACGCGUAGGUAACCUGCCUGGUAGCGGGGGAUAACUAUUGGAAACGAGAGCUAAUACCGCAUAACAGUAGAUGUUGCAUGACAACUAUUUGAAAGGGGCAAUUGCUCCACUACCAGAUGGACCUGCGUUGUAUUAGCUAGUUGGUGAGGUAACGGCUCACCAAGGCGACGAUACAUAGCCGACCUGAGAGGGUGAUCGGCCACACUGGGACUGAGACACGGCCCAGACUCCUACGGGAGGCAGCAGUAGGGAAUCUUCGGCAAUGGACGGAAGUCUGACCGAGCAACGCCGCGUGAGUGAAGAAGGUUUUCGGAUCGUAAAGCUCUGUUGUAAGAGAAGAACGAGUGUGAGAGUGGAAAGUUCACACUGUGACGGUAUCUUACCAGAAAGGGACGGCUAACUACGUG
RNAcentral lists this ribosomal RNA (497 nucleotides) under uncultured bacterium. RNAcentral describes it as "partial 16S ribosomal RNA". It matches the Rfam family "Bacterial small subunit ribosomal RNA", at positions 28 to 507 of the family's 1533-position model. The record is from RNAcentral.